CUUGAAAUGCACUUCUUGUUGUGGAUACUGAUGGUAGCCUUGUGGGUGUCCUAUUCAAGGCCCCUAGUGUAUAAGGCUCAGUUCAAAAAAGGCGGUACAUUUAACUAAUGGCUGUCUAACGGCCAAAGGUGAGCAACUGCAAGUAGGACAAUUCGUCCAGGACAAUAACACGUGCGGUGUUAUACGUUGUGAAGGACGAGAUGGCAAAGCCCUCAUUAUGUAUUGCCAGAUACCAUUGCCCUUCGCACAAUGCUCAGUUGACUACAUAUCCACUGCAGAACCUUUUCCCAGGUGCUGUUGGACUUGCGUUCACGUAAUUGAUUGCUAUUAACUAAAUACUGAGUUAGUUUAAUAUAUAUUUCAUUUGAAAACCACAAAA
This is an unclassified non-coding RNA of Drosophila serrata, 379 nucleotides long. The record is from RefSeq and is a predicted model, not a curated record. NCBI's taxonomy places the organism in Eukaryota, Metazoa, Arthropoda, Insecta, Diptera, Drosophilidae.